This 496-nucleotide ribosomal RNA is filed under the name uncultured bacterium. RNAcentral describes it as "partial 16S ribosomal RNA". It matches the Rfam family "Bacterial small subunit ribosomal RNA", at positions 29 to 507 of the family's 1533-position model. The record is from RNAcentral.
AACGAACGCUGGCGGCGCGUCUUAAGCAUGCAAGUCGAACGGCAAGAGAGGAGCUUGCUUCUCUCCUAGAGUGGCAGACUGGUGAGGAACACGUGGGUAAUCUACCCUUAAGAUGGGGAUAGCUGCUAGAAAUAGCAGGUAAUACCGAAUACACUCGGCAUAUCACAAGAGGUGUUGAGGAAAGGAAGCUACGGCUUCGCUUGAGGAUGAGCUUGCGUCCCAUUAGCUAGUUGGUGAGGUAAAGGCCCACCAAGGCGACGAUGGGUAUCCGGCCUGAGAGGGUGAACGGACACAUUGGGACUGAGAUACGGCCCAAACUCCUACGGGAGGCAGCAGCUAAGAAUAUUCCGCAAUGGACGGAAGUCUGACGGAGCGACGCCGCGUGGAUGAAGAAGGCUGAAAAGUUGUAAAAUCCUUUUGUUGAUGAAGAAUAAGGGUGAGAGGGAAUGCUCAUCUGAUGACGGUAAUCGACGAAUAAGCCCCGGCUAAUUACGUG